Non-coding RNA from Capsicum annuum, 442 nucleotides. NCBI's taxonomy places the organism in Eukaryota, Viridiplantae, Streptophyta, Magnoliopsida, Solanales, Solanaceae. The record is from Rfam.
UUAUUUUCUCCGUGUGGUAUAUUUUGAUCCGGUACAGAGUUUGAAAAAUAAGAAAAAAUUUGAUGAUGUUUAUCAAAUUAUUCUUUAUUAAAAUAGGAGGCAGCAGUGGGGAAUUUUCCGUAAUAGAUGAAAAAAAACUGACAAAGCAAUGCCGCGUGGAGGUAGAAGGUUCAUGGAUCGUAAACUUCUUUUUCCACAGAAGAAGCAAUGACGGUAUUUGGAGAAUAAGCAUCGGCUAACUCUGUGCCAGCAGCCGUGGUGAUAAAGAGGAUGAGAUGAAAGUGUUAUGCGGAAUGAUUGAGGGUAAAGCGUCUGUAGGUGGCUUUUUAAGUCCGACGUCAAAUCCCAGGAUUCAACUCUGGACAAGCGGUGGAAACUAUCAAGUUGGAGUACGGUAGGGGCAGAAAAUGUACUACUACUAUCUUUAAUUAAGUGAAACCUU